UACAGAGGGUGCGAGCGUUAAUCGGAAUUACUGGGCGUAAAGGGUGCGUAGGUGGUUUAUUAAGUCAGAUGUGAAAUCCCCGGGCUUAACCUGGGAAUUGCAUAUGAUACUGGUGAGCUAGAGAAUGGAAGAGGGAAGUGGAAUUUCCGGUGUAGCGGUGAAAUGCGUAGAUAUCGGAAGGAACAUCAGUGGCGAAGGCGACUUCCUGGUCCAUGACUGACACUGAGGCACGAAAGCGUGGGGAGCAAACAGG
Molecule: ribosomal RNA, 253 nt
Filed under: uncultured bacterium
Lineage: Bacteria
Description: partial 16S ribosomal RNA
Rfam family: Bacterial small subunit ribosomal RNA
Source: RNAcentral